Molecule: ribosomal RNA, 466 nt
Filed under: uncultured bacterium
Lineage: Bacteria
Description: partial 16S ribosomal RNA
Rfam family: Bacterial small subunit ribosomal RNA
Source: RNAcentral
GAUGAACGCUGGCGGCGUGCUUAACACAUGCAAGUCGAACGAUGAAGCCCAGCUUUCUGGGUGGAUUAGUUGCGAACGGGUGAGUAACACGUGAGUAACCUGCCCUUAACUCUGGGAUAAGCCUGGUAAACUGGGUCUAAUACCGGAUAGGAGCGUCCACCGCAUGGUGGGUGUUGUAAAGAUUUAUCGGUUUUGGAUGGACUCGCGGCCUAUCAGCUUGUUGGUGAGGUAUUGGCUCACCAAGGCGACGACGGGUAGCCGGCCUGAGAGGGUGACCGGCCACACUGGGACUGCGACACGGCCCAGACUCCUACGGGCGGCAGCAGUGGGGAAUAUUGCACAAUGGGCGAAAGCCUGAUGCAGCGACGCCGCGUGCGGGAUGACGGCCUUCGGGUUGUAAACCUCUUUCAGUAGGGAAGAAGAGAAAGUGACGGUACCUGCAGAAGAAGCACCGGCUAACUACGUG